RNAcentral lists this ribosomal RNA (441 nucleotides) under uncultured bacterium. RNAcentral describes it as "bacterial SSU rRNA". It matches the Rfam family "Bacterial small subunit ribosomal RNA", at positions 47 to 518 of the family's 1533-position model. The record is from RNAcentral.
UCUUAGGCAUGGCAAGUCGAACGGAUGACAAGAGAGCUUGCUCUCUUGAAGUCAGUGGCGCACGAGUGAGUAACGCGUGGGAAACUGCCUUCACUGGGGAAUAACGUUUGGAAACGAACGCUAAUACCGCAUACGCCCGCAAGGGGAAAGAUUUAUCGGUGAUGGAUGUGCCCGCGUUGGAUUAGCUAGUUGGUGGGUAAUGGCCUACCAAGGCGAUGAUCCAUAGCUGGUCUGAGAGGACGAUCAGCCACGCUGGAACUGAGACACGGUCCAGACUCCUACGGGAGGCAGCAGCUAAGAAUAUUGGGCAAUGGAGGAAACUCUGACCCAGCCAAUGCCGCGUGAAUGAAGAAGGCCUUCGGGUUGUAAAGUUCUUUUAGUCAUGAAGAUGAUGACAGUAGUGACAGAAAAAGCACCGGCUAACUUCGUGCCAGCCGCUGC